RNAcentral lists this ribosomal RNA (2924 nucleotides) under Staphylococcus schleiferi. RNAcentral's name for it is "bacterial LSU rRNA". It matches the Rfam family "Bacterial large subunit ribosomal RNA". Lineage: Bacteria; Bacillati; Bacillota; Bacilli; Caryophanales; Staphylococcaceae. The record is from RNAcentral.
UUAAGUUAUUAAGGGCGCACGGUGGAUGCCUUGGCACUAGAAGCCGAUGAAGGACGUUACUAACGACGAUAUGCUUUGGGGAGCUGUAAGUAAGCUUUGAUCCAGAGAUUUCCGAAUGGGGAAACCCAGCAUGAGUUAUGUCAUGUUAUCGAUAUGUGAAUACAUAGCAUAUCAGAAGGCACACCCGGAGAACUGAAACAUCUUAGUACCCGGAGGAAGAGAAAGAAAAUUCGAUUCCCUUAGUAGCGGCGAGCGAAACGGGAAGAGCCCAAACCAACAAGCUUGCUUGUUGGGGUUGUAGGACACUCUAUACGGAGUUACAAAGGACGACAUUAGACGAAUCAUCUGGAAAGAUGAAUCAAAGAAGGUAAUAAUCCUGUAGUCGAAAAUGUUGUCUCUCUUGAGUGGAUCCUGAGUACGACGGAGCACGUGAAAUUCCGUCGGAAUCUGGGAGGACCAUCUCCUAAGGCUAAAUACUCUCUAGUGACCGAUAGUGAACCAGUACCGUGAGGGAAAGGUGAAAAGCACCCCGGAAGGGGAGUGAAAUAGAACCUGAAACCGUGUGCUUACAAGUAGUCAGAGCCCGUUAAUGGGUGAUGGCGUGCCUUUUGUAGAAUGAACCGGCGAGUUACGAUUUGAUGCAAGGUUAAGCAGUAAAUGUGGAGCCGUAGCGAAAGCGAGUCUGAAUAGGGCGUUUAGUAUUUGGUCGUAGACCCGAAACCAGGUGAUCUACCCUUGGUCAGGUUGAAGUUCAGGUAACACUGAAUGGAGGACCGAACCGACUUACGUUGAAAAGUGAGCGGAUGAACUGAGGGUAGCGGAGAAAUUCCAAUCGAACCUGGAGAUAGCUGGUUCUCUCCGAAAUAGCUUUAGGGCUAGCCUCAAGUGAUGAUUAUUGGAGGUAGAGCACUGUUUGGACGAGGGGCCCCUCUCGGGUUACCGAAUUCAGACAAACUCCGAAUGCCAAUUAAUUUAACUUGGGAGUCAGAACAUGGGUGAUAAGGUCCGUGUUCGAAAGGGAAACAGCCCAGACCACCAGCUAAGGUCCCAAAAUAUAUGUUAAGUGGAAAAGGAUGUGGCGUUGCCCAGACAACUAGGAUGUUGGCUUAGAAGCAGCCAUCAUUUAAAGAGUGCGUAAUAGCUCACUAGUCGAGUGACACUGCGCCGAAAAUGUACCGGGGCUAAACAUAUUACCGAAGCUGUGGAUUGUCCUUUGGACAAUGGUAGGAGAGCGUUCUAAGGGCGUUGAAGCAUGAUCGUAAGGACAUGUGGAGCGCUUAGAAGUGAGAAUGCCGGUGUGAGUAGCGAAAGACGGGUGAGAAUCCCGUCCACCGAUUGACUAAGGUUUCCAGAGGAAGGCUCGUCCGCUCUGGGUUAGUCGGGUCCUAAGCUGAGGCCGACAGGCGUAGGCGAUGGAUAACAGGUUGAUAUUCCUGUACCACCUAUAAUCGUUUUAAUCGAUGGGGGGGACGCAGUAGGAUAGGCGAAGCGUGCGAUUGGAUUGCACGUCUAAGCAGUAAGGCUGAGUAUUAGGCAAAUCCGGUACUCAUUAAGGCUGAGCUGUGAUGGGGAGAAGACAUUGUGUCUUCGAGUCGUUGAUUUCACACUGCCGAGAAAAGCCUCUAGAUAGAAAAUAGGUGCCCGUACCGCAAACCGACACAGGUAGUCAAGAUGAGAAUUCUAAGGUGAGCGAGCGAACUCUCGUUAAGGAACUCGGCAAAAUGACCCCGUAACUUCGGGAGAAGGGGUGCUCUUUAGGGUUAACGCCCAGAAGAGCCGCAGUGAAUAGGCCCAAGCGACUGUUUAUCAAAAACACAGGUCUCUGCUAAACCGUAAGGUGAUGUAUAGGGGCUGACGCCUGCCCGGUGCUGGAAGGUUAAGAGGAGUGGUUAGCUUCUGCGAAGCUACGAAUCGAAGCCCCAGUAAACGGCGGCCGUAACUAUAACGGUCCUAAGGUAGCGAAAUUCCUUGUCGGGUAAGUUCCGACCCGCACGAAAGGCGUAACGAUUUGGGCACUGUCUCAACGAGAGACUCGGUGAAAUCAUAGUACCUGUGAAGAUGCAGGUUACCCGCGACAGGACGGAAAGACCCCGUGGAGCUUUACUGUAGCCUGAUAUUGAAAAUUCGGCACAGCUUGUACAGGAUAGGUAGGAGCCUUUGAAACGUGAGCGCUAGCUUACGUGGAGGCGCUGGUGGGAUACUACCCUAGCUGUGUUGGCUUUCUAACCCGCACCACUUAUCGUGGUGGGAGACAGUGUCAGGCGGGCAGUUUGACUGGGGCGGUCGCCUCCUAAAAGGUAACGGAGGCGCUCAAAGGUUCCCUCAGAAUGGUUGGAAAUCAUUCAUAGAGUGUAAAGGCAUAAGGGAGCUUGACUGCGAGACCUACAAGUCGAGCAGGGUCGAAAGACGGACUUAGUGAUCCGGUGGUUCCGCAUGGAAGGGCCAUCGCUCAACGGAUAAAAGCUACCCCGGGGAUAACAGGCUUAUCUCCCCCAAGAGUUCACAUCGACGGGGAGGUUUGGCACCUCGAUGUCGGCUCAUCGCAUCCUGGGGCUGUAGUCGGUCCCAAGGGUUGGGCUGUUCGCCCAUUAAAGCGGUACGCGAGCUGGGUUCAGAACGUCGUGAGACAGUUCGGUCCCUAUCCGUCGUGGGCGUAGGAAAUUUGAGAGGAGCUGUCCUUAGUACGAGAGGACCGGGAUGGACAUACCUCUGGUGUACCAGUUGUCGUGCCAACGGCAUAGCUGGGUAGCUAUGUGUGGACGGGAUAAGUGCUGAAAGCAUCUAAGCAUGAAGCCCCCCCUCAAGAUGAGAUUUCCCAACUUCGGUUAUAAGAUCCCUCAAAGACGAUGAGGUUAAUAGGUUCGAGGUGGAAGCAUGGUGACAUGUGGAGCUGACGAAUACUAAUCGAUCGAAGACUUAAUCAA